AGCUCAUUACAACAGCCACCGUUUACUAGAAUAUAGUUAUCUUACUUGGAUAACUGUGGCAAUUCUAGAGCUAAUACAUGCAAAAAAGCUCUGCCCGCAAGGAACGAGCGCAUUUAUUAGAAUAAAAACCAAUCGGGUUUCGGCCCGUAAUUUGGUGAAUCUGAAUAACUUUGCCAAUCGCACAGUCCUAGUACUGGCGAUGUAUCUUUCAAGUGUCUGCCUUAUCAACUUUCGAUGGUAGGUUAUACGCCUACCAUGGUAGUAACGGGUAACGGAGAAUAAGGGUUCGACUCCGGAGAGGGAGCCUGAGAAACGGCUACCACAUCCAAGGAAGGCAGCAGGCGCGCAAAUUACCCACUUCCAGAACGGAGAGGUAGUGACGAAAAAUAACGAGACAGUCCUCUUCGAGGUCUGUCAUCGGAAUGGGUACAAUUUAAAUCCUUUAACGAGGAUCUAUUGGAGGGCAAGUCUGGUGCCAGCAGCCGCGGUAAUUCCAGCUCCAAUAGCGUAUAUUAAAGUUGUUGCGGUUAAAACGCUCGUAGUUGGAUUUGCGGCCUCGGAGAACGGUCCCCCGAAAGGGUGGUCACUGUCUCUCCUAGCCUAAUUUCGAGUCGUCUCUAGGUGCUCUUUACCGAGUGCUUAGAGUGACUAGAACGUUUACUUUGAAAAAAUUAGAGUGCUUAAAGCAGGCGAAAUAGCCUGAAUAAGGUGCAUGGAAUAAUGGAAUAGGACCUCGGUUCUAUUUUGUUGGUUUUCGGAACCCGAGGUAAUGAUUAAGAGGAACAGACGGGGGCAUUCGUAUUCCGGCGCUAGAGGUGAAAUUCUUGGACCGCCGGAAGACGGACAACUGCGAAAGCAU
Molecule: ribosomal RNA, 859 nt
Filed under: Aporcelaimellus sp. 4 GVDU-2019
Lineage: Eukaryota; Metazoa; Nematoda; Enoplea; Dorylaimida; Aporcelaimidae
Description: SSU rRNA
Rfam family: Eukaryotic small subunit ribosomal RNA
Source: RNAcentral